Mesocricetus auratus (golden hamster) is the source of this 1797-nucleotide long non-coding RNA. RefSeq lists it as uncharacterized. The transcript is spliced from 3 exons. The record is from RefSeq and is a predicted model, not a curated record. NCBI's taxonomy places the organism in Eukaryota, Metazoa, Chordata, Mammalia, Rodentia, Cricetidae.
UUUGUUAGAUUUACUCAGUACCGGUUUCCCCUGUUUUGUUGCUAGAUGUCAAGGUUAAGGGGGAAUCCCUAGGUCAAAGGAGCCAUUCUUAGUGCAUUGAAGCAUAGGACUGUGGGGCAGAUGGAUUAAAUGAUGGGGAAAUGGCAAAGGCAUCCUGAAGCACUCUUUGGCUAAGAGGACUGUUGGCCCCACAAAGAGUUGUUUUCUUCCAGAAACUGAGUUGAAAACCGUGCUGUCUUCGGCUGCAUUGUUCCACUGAUACGCACCAGGAGAUCCCUCUUCCUGCCCUUCCCAGCUCCAUUAUUCCGUGACCGGGCCCAUAAUGGAGAUGGUAUCUAAAUUACAUCAGAAUGCAGCUUCCAGCCCCAAACAUCUGCGCUUGGUGGUGGUUGUUCCUGUGUUUACAGUCUUGCUGGUUUCCUGUUCGUGAACAUGGGCUGGGAGAAAUAUUCCGACUUCAGUCUUGGAAGAGGAGGAGCUUAGCUGUAUCAUUGGUGCAAACUGUCUGUGCCGAUGAGGCCAGGGGAUAUUUUUACAAAUUGGCUUUGCCUAUUCUCCAAGACCAGCUAUUUUUCCCUCCCUUUAAAAAAGAAAAAGUCUGAAUUGCAUUUAAAUUGCACAAAGCCUGACCUUUUUUUUCAUCUGCAAAACGACAAGUUUUUGCCUGGCUUAAUUUUUCUUGCAGAUUUUAUUUGUACUUUUCUGCAUCAGUGUAAGUUAACAACAGAGGCCCUAUGCUAAAAAGAAAGGAGUAUAUGUUCUUUUUAGAGAAAUUUAAUUUCAUAACAAAAUUAAGCAGAAAGUUCCAGAAUUUCUUAUGUAAACCCUGCCCCACCACAUGCAAACAUUCUCCCAUGGGCAUCCCUCACCAGGAGUGGUCCCUUGGUUAUCACGGAGGACAUGGCAUUGUUAUCCAGCACCCACAGCUUAUACUUGGGUUCACUUCUGUGGUAUGUGUGAGUUUGGACAAAUGUAUAGUGUGUCCACCUUUCCAGUAUCACGCAGAAUAGUUCAUUGCCCUGUGUGGAAAACUGAAAACUCCAUGAAGAUAUAUAUAUAUAUAUAUAUAUAUAUAUAUAUACACACACAUAUAUAUAUACAUAUAUACAAUAUGCAGAAUUUUGAGAAAAAAGAAGAAUAAAAUACCUCUGCUGAAUACUACUUUGUCCCUACCUUUCCACCCUGGCAUUGUAUAAAAACUUUUGAUUGUGUGUGACUACGUGGAUCUUACAGUGUUUCUAAGUGUUGACAACGAAUCUACCAGAGACCUUUCUUUCCUUUUUUAAAGUCUAAGAGCUGUUUUCUCCUCUGCAUACUUUCACUGAGGUGUCUGUCACCAUAGUACCUAGACAAUCCCUCAGGCAGAGAGAGACACGAGUGAUUAAAUUUCUCCCUGGUUUAUGCUCUGUUUGAUCCAUGCCCAGCAGGAUUUGAAGGAGUAAAAUAGAGUCCUGAAGAAUAAACAAGAAUUAUUGGAAUUUUAUGCUUGUAAAUUAUUGAAAUUGGGGGUAGUUAAGGGAGGAGGUAAAUAAUUUUCCUUUCUGAAAAAUUUAUAUUAACAUAAUAUGGGUUUGGGAUUGAAACUUCUUUACCCCAUCCCCGCCCUACACCCCUCAAAAAUCUUCCCAGACUUAGAGGUGAGAUCACAGCUUAUCUUAAGAGAAACUACUUAGACUGUAGUAAAUCUAAAUUAAUUGAGACUCCAUAGAUCCAAAGGGUUUUGUAAAUAAUGUAUAGAGUAGGUUCUUUUGCCUUUUCUAUUAAGAAGGGCUAUACUGAUUACUGGUAAAUAAACAU